AUUGAACGCUGGCGGCAUGCCUUACACAUGCAAGUCGAACGGCAGCACGGGUGCUUGCACCUGGUGGCGAGUGGCGAACGGGUGAGUAAUACAUCGGAACAUGUCCUGUGGUGGGGGAUAGCCCGGCGAAAGCCGGAUUAAUACCGCAUACGAUCUACGGAUGAAAGCGGGGGACCUUCGGGCCUCGCGCUAUAGGGUUGGCCGAUGGCUGAUUAGCUAGUUGGUGGGGUAAAGGCCUACCAAGGCGACGAUCAGUAGCUGGUCUGAGAGGACGACCAGCCACACUGGGACUGAGACACGGCCCAGACUCCUACGGGAGGCAGCAGUGGGGAAUUUUGGACAAUGGGCGAAAGCCUGAUCCAGCAAUGCCGCGUGUGUGAAGAAGGCCUUCGGGUCGUAAAGCACUUUUGUCCGGAAAGAAAUCCUUGGCCCUAAUACGGUCGGGGGAUGACGGUACCGGAAGAAUAAGCACCGGCUAACUACGUG
This 486-nucleotide ribosomal RNA is filed under the name uncultured bacterium. RNAcentral's name for it is "partial 16S ribosomal RNA". It matches the Rfam family "Bacterial small subunit ribosomal RNA", at positions 30 to 507 of the family's 1533-position model. The record is from RNAcentral.